CCCGAGGCGGUGGAAUCCGAAGGGGUAGCAGAUCCCGAUGCACAGUCAGGAGGCACCCAGAAUAUCAAUCUUAUGCAUGCCUACAAUAAGUUUCAAUGAGUUCAAUUGGACCUGUUCCCAGGUAAAUGGUUAUUAUAUUAUAGCUGCAUUUUGCAA
Lacerta agilis (Sand lizard) is the source of this 156-nucleotide long non-coding RNA. RefSeq lists it as uncharacterized. Lineage: Eukaryota; Metazoa; Chordata; Lepidosauria; Squamata; Lacertidae. The record is from RefSeq and is a predicted model, not a curated record. The transcript has 3 exons.